This is a non-coding RNA of Mycena galericulata, 87 nucleotides long. Lineage: Eukaryota; Fungi; Basidiomycota; Agaricomycetes; Agaricales; Mycenaceae. The record is from the annotation of a GenBank genome assembly.
GCCUCCUUAGUGCAGCGGUGUAAGCCGCUGGGACAGACUUGCCCAAGCAAAUUGAUGAGGUCCAGGGUUCGACUCCCUGAGGAGGCA